This 51-nucleotide small RNA is filed under the name Sinorhizobium meliloti 2011. Its description in RNAcentral is "putative ncRNA". The record is from RNAcentral. Lineage: Bacteria; Pseudomonadati; Pseudomonadota; Alphaproteobacteria; Hyphomicrobiales; Rhizobiaceae.
CAGUUCGUCGAUCAUCGCCACCGGCAAGCGAAGAUCUUCGGGAUAUAGCAC